CCUACAGGCAGCAGUGGGGAAUAUUGGACAAUGGGGGCAACCCUGAUCCAGCCAUGCCGCGUGAGUGAUGACGGCCUUAGGGUUGUAAAGCUCUUUUCUCCGGGACGAUAAUGACGGUACCGGAGGAAUAAGCCCCGGCUAACUUCGUGCCAGCAGCCGCGGUAAUACGAAGGGGGCUAGCGUUGCUCGGAAUCACUGGGCGUAAAGGGCGCGUAGGCGGCUGAUUUAGUCGAGGGUGAAAGCCCGUGGCUCAACCACGGAAUGGCCUUCGAUACUGGUUGGCUUGAGACCGGAAGAGGACAGCGGAACUGCGAGUGUAGAGGUGAAAUUCGUAGAUAUUCGCAAGAACACCAGUGGCGAAGGCGGCUGUCUGGUCCGGUUCUGACGCUGAGGCGCGAAAGCGUGGGGAGCAAACAGGAUUAGAUACCCUGGUAGUCCACGCUGUAAACGAUGAAUGCUAGCCGUUGGGGUGCAUGCACCUCAGUGGCGCCGCUAACGCAUUAAGCAUUCCGCCUGGGGAGACGGUCGCAAGAUUAAAACUUAAGGAAUUGACGG
Molecule: ribosomal RNA, 555 nt
Filed under: uncultured bacterium
Lineage: Bacteria
Description: bacterial SSU rRNA
Rfam family: Bacterial small subunit ribosomal RNA
Source: RNAcentral